GGCGGGGUAGAGCAGCGGCAGCUCACCUGGCUCAUACCCAGGAGGUCGCAGGUUCGAUUCCUGCUCCCGCAAUUUCCCA
Molecule: transfer RNA, 79 nt
Filed under: Caudoviricetes sp.
Lineage: Duplodnaviria; Heunggongvirae; Uroviricota; Caudoviricetes
Description: tRNA-Met
Rfam family: tRNA
About the family: Transfer RNA (tRNA) molecules are approximately 80 nucleotides in length. Their secondary structure includes four short double-helical elements and three loops (D, anti-codon, and T loops).
Source: RNAcentral